Molecule: long non-coding RNA, 366 nt
Organism: Phasianus colchicus (ring-necked pheasant)
Lineage: Eukaryota; Metazoa; Chordata; Aves; Galliformes; Phasianidae
Source: RefSeq, a predicted model, not a curated record
CGCGCGGCCGGCCGGCCGCCUCCACGUGGGGGGGCGCAGCGCUCGCCCCGCCCGCCGUUGCCCGGGUGAAGGCCGCCGUGCUCGGCACCUACCCGGAGCCUACGCAGCUAUUGUGGGCGGAUAGGAAACACCUCCCGGGGCAGGGCUUCCCGGAGCGUGCCAAUGCCCAUUGCUGUAAAUGCCGCACGCACAAACAUCUCCGUGGUCAAGGAAUGCAACAUUUUCUGCUACACUAUUCCUCCCACCUCAGCAGAAUGGCAUUGGAAGCUCAUAGCUGCAGCUUAUACCUGUUGUGCUGAAGGUUCCCAUUAGAUGGCACUGCAAUUGCUCCUGUUGAUUUGAAGGCAGUUUGAGAGGCUCGCAUCA